RNAcentral lists this ribosomal RNA (764 nucleotides) under uncultured Treponema sp. RNAcentral's name for it is "bacterial SSU rRNA". It matches the Rfam family "Bacterial small subunit ribosomal RNA", at positions 28 to 775 of the family's 1533-position model. Lineage: Bacteria; Pseudomonadati; Spirochaetota; Spirochaetia; Treponematales; Treponemataceae. The record is from RNAcentral.
AACGAACGCUGGCGGCGCGUCUUAAGCAUGCAAGUCGAACGGCAAGAGAGGAGCUUGCUUCUCUCCUAGAGUGGCGGACUGGUGAGGAACACGUGGGUAAUCUACCCUUAAGAUGGGGAUAGCUGCUAGAAAUAGCAGGUAAUACCGAAUACACUCGGCAUAUCACAAGAGAUGUUGAGGAAAGGCAGCUACGGCUUCGCUUGAGGAUGAGCUUGCGUCCCAUUAGCUAGUUGGUGAGGUAAAGGCCCACCAAGGCGACGAUGGGUAUCCGGCCUGAGAGGGUGAACGGACACAUUGGGACUGAGAUACGGCCCAAACUCCUACGGGAGGCAGCAGCUAAGAAUAUUCCGCAAUGGGCGGAAGUCUGACGGAGCGACGCCGCGUGGAUGAAGAAGGCUGAAAAGUUGUAAAAUCCUUUUGUUGAUGAAGAAUAAGGGUGAGAGGGAAUGCUCAUCUGAUGACGGUAAUCGACGAAUAAGCCCCGGCUAAUUACGUGCCAGCAGCCGCGGUAACACGUAAGGGGCGAGCGUUGUUCGGAAUUAUUGGGCGUAAAGGGCAUGUAGGCGGCUAUGUAAGCCUGAUGUGAAAUCCUGGGGCUUAACCCUAGAAUAGCAUUGGGUACUGUAUAGCUUGAAUUACGGAAGGGAAACCGGAAUUCCAAGUGUAGGGGUGGAAUCUGUAGAUAUUUGGAAGAACACUGGUGGCGAAGGCGGGUUUCUGGCCGAUAAUUGACGCUGAGAUGCGAAAGUGUGGGGAUCGAACAG